AUAGCUCGUUUCGAAUGAUUUAGCUCUUCUGGAAGUAGUGGCGCUGACGGAUUUUGGGUUUGACGUACGGAUUUCGAGAAAAUUUGAAAAUACAUGUUUUAUAUGUAUUUGCGUGUCAUUUUGUCUUUUGGAGAGAGAGAACGGAUUUCAUCGCGAAUCCGUGAUCGAUCGAGGUGAACCAAAAUCAUAGCUUUGUUGUCUACGUCGUGCUGAUCGCACUGGUGCGAUCCGUUCGCAAAUCUGACGGACGGAUCUGCGGAGAAUGCGCGUUGUUCGAGGAGAGGUCGGUGAUGGCAAAACGGUAUUUUAGCAA
This 313-nucleotide long non-coding RNA is filed under the name Ananas comosus (pineapple). Its description in RNAcentral is "long non-coding RNA (ACOM_LNC039420)". The record is from RNAcentral. Lineage: Eukaryota; Viridiplantae; Streptophyta; Magnoliopsida; Poales; Bromeliaceae.